This 1359-nucleotide ribosomal RNA is filed under the name uncultured bacterium. RNAcentral's name for it is "bacterial SSU rRNA". It matches the Rfam family "Bacterial small subunit ribosomal RNA", at positions 28 to 1381 of the family's 1533-position model. The record is from RNAcentral.
GAUGAACGCUAGCUACAGGCUUAACACAUGCAAGUCGAGGGGCAGCAUUUCAGUUUGCUUGCAAACUGGAGAUGGCGACCGGCGCACGGGUGAGUAACACGUAUCCAACCUGCCGAUAACUCGGGGAUAGCCUUUCGAAAGAAAGAUUAAUACCCGAUGGUAUAAUCAGACCGCAUGGUCUUGUUAUUAAAGAAUUUCGGUUAUCGAUGGGGAUGCGUUCCAUUAGGCAGUUGGUGAGGUAACGGCUCACCAAACCUUCGAUGGAUAGGGGUUCUGAGAGGAAGGUCCCCCACAUUGGAACUGAGACACGGUCCAAACUCCUACGGGAGGCAGCAGUGAGGAAUAUUGGUCAAUGGGCGCAGGCCUGAACCAGCCAAGUAGCGUGAAGGAUGACUGCCCUAUGGGUUGUAAACUUCUUUUAUAUGGGAAUAAAGUUUUCCACGUGUGGAAUUUUGUAUGUACCAUAUGAAUAAGGAUCGGCUAACUCCGUGCCAGCAGCCGCGGUAAUACGGAGGAUCCGAGCGUUAUCCGGAUUUAUUGGGUUUAAAGGGAGCGUAGGUGGACAGUUAAGUCAGUUGUGAAAGUUUGCGGCUCAACCGUAAAAUUGCAGUUGAUACUGGCUGUCUUGAGUACAGUAGAGGUGGGCGGAAUUCGUGGUGUAGCGGUGAAAUGCUUAGAAAUCACGAAGAACUCCGAUUGCGAAGGCAGCUCACUGGACUGCAACUGACACUGAUGCUCGAAAGUGUGGGUAUCAAACAGGAUUAGAUACCCUGGUAGUCCACACAGUAAACGAUGAAUACUCGCUGUUUGCGAUAUACAGCAAGCGGCCAAGCGAAAGCAUUAAGUAUUCCACCUGGGGAGUACGCCGGCAACGGUGAAACUCAAAGGAAUUGACGGGGGCCCGCACAAGCGGAGGAACAUGUGGUUUAAUUCGAUGAUACGCGAGGAACCUUACCCGGGCUUAAAUUGCAUUUGAAUAUAUUGGAAACAGUAUAGCCGUAAGGCAAAUGUGAAGGUGCUGCAUGGUUGUCGUCAGCUCGUGCCGUGAGGUGUCGGCUUAAGUGCCAUAACGAGCGCAACCCUUAUCUUUAGUUACUAACAGGUCAUGCUGAGGACUCUAGAGAGACUGCCGUCGUAAGAUGUGAGGAAGGUGGGGAUGACGUCAAAUCAGCACGGCCCUUACGUCCGGGGCUACACACGUGUUACAAUGGGGGGUACAGAAGGCAGCUACCUGGUGACAGGAUGCUAAUCCCAAAAGCCUCUCUCAGUUCGGAUCGAAGUCUGCAACCCGACUUCGUGAAGCUGGAUUCGCUAGUAAUCGCGCAUCAGCCAUGGCGCGGUGAAUACGUUCCCGGGCCU